CCUACGGGAGGCAGCAGUGGGGGAUAUUGCACAAUGGGGGGAACCCUGAUGCAGCGACGCCGCGUGAGCGAAGACGUACCUCGGUAUGUAAAGCUCUAUCAGCAGGGAAGAAAAUGACGGUACCUGACUAAGAAGCGCCGGCUAAAUACGUGCCAGCAGCCGCGGUACUACGUAUGGGGCACGCGUUAUCCGGAUUUACUGGGUGUAAAGGGAGCGCAGGCGGCCUGCCAAGUCUGGUGGGAAAACCCGGGGGCCAACCCCGGGCCUGCAUUGGAAACUGGCGGGCUGGAGUGUCGGAGGGGCAGGCGGAAUUCGUGGUGUAGCGGUGAAAUGCGUAGAUAUUAGGAGGAACACCGGUGGCGAAGGCGGCCUGCUGGACGAUGACUGACGCUGAGGCUCGAAAGCGUGGGGAGCAAACAGGAUUAGAUACCCCAGUAGUC
Molecule: ribosomal RNA, 440 nt
Filed under: uncultured bacterium
Lineage: Bacteria
Description: partial 16S ribosomal RNA
Rfam family: Bacterial small subunit ribosomal RNA
Source: RNAcentral